CUGCUGCCUUCCGUAGGAGUCUGGUCCGUGUCUCAGUACCAGUGUGGGGGGCCUUCCUCUCAGAACCCCUACGCAUCGUCGGAACGGUGGUCCGUCACACCGCCGUCUUCCUAAUGCGCCGCAUGCCCAUCCGCCACCGGAAUUAACCUUUGGCACCAACAGGAUGUCCCGUCGAUGCAUUAUGCCGUAUUAGACGGAAUUUCUCCCGAUUAUCCGGCUGUGGCAGGCAGGUUGCAUACGUGUUACUCA
This 249-nucleotide ribosomal RNA is filed under the name uncultured bacterium. RNAcentral's name for it is "partial 16S ribosomal RNA". The record is from RNAcentral.